GAUGAACGCUGGCGGCGUGCCUAAUACAUGCAAGUCGAGCGAACGGACGAGAAGCUUGCUUCUCUGAUGUUAGCGGCGGACGGGUGAGUAACACGUGGAUAACCUACCUAUAAGACUGGGAUAACUUCGGGAAACCGGAGCUAGUACCGGAUAAUAUUUUGAACCGCAUGGUUCAAAAGUGAAAGACGGUUUUGCUGUCACUUAUAGAUGGAUCCGCGCUGCAUUAGCUAGUUGGUAAGGUAACGGCUUACCAAGGCAACGAUGCAUAGCCGACCUGAGAGGGUGAUCGGCCACACUGGAACUGAGACACGGUCCAGACUCCUACGGGAGGCAGCAGUAGGGAAUCUUCCGCAAUGGGCGAAAGCCUGACGGAGCAACGCCGCGUGAGUGAUGAAGGUCCUCGGAUCGUAAAACUCUGUUAUUAGGGAAGAACAUAUGUGUAAGUAACUGUGCACAUCUUGACGGUACCUAAUCAGAAAGCCACGGCUAACUACGUG
This 497-nucleotide ribosomal RNA is filed under the name uncultured bacterium. RNAcentral's name for it is "partial 16S ribosomal RNA". It matches the Rfam family "Bacterial small subunit ribosomal RNA", at positions 28 to 507 of the family's 1533-position model. The record is from RNAcentral.